Molecule: ribosomal RNA, 253 nt
Filed under: uncultured microorganism
Description: partial 16S ribosomal RNA
Rfam family: Bacterial small subunit ribosomal RNA
Source: RNAcentral
UACGUAGGGUGCGAGCGUUAAUCGGAUUUACUGGGCGUAAAGCGAGCGCAGGCGGCCCGUUAAGACAGGUGUGAAAUCCCUGGGCUCAACCUAGGAAUUGCGCUUGUGACUGGCGGGCUCGAGUACGGUAGAGGGGGGUGGAAUUCCUGGUGUAGCAGUGAAAUGCGUAGAGAUCAGGAGGAACACCGAUGGCGAAGGCAGCCCCCUGGGCCUGUACUGACGCUCAUGCACGAAAGCGUGGGGAGCAAACAGG